UUUAUUUUUAUUUGAUGUUAAGAUUAAGGGGGAUUAGCUCCUUGUUUUACUUUUAUAAUUGGUUAUUGUUUAAUUUAGUUUUGUGGAUUUUAUAGUGAUUUUCUAUUUGAUUAUGUUAAAAUUUUAUUUGUUAUUUUUUUAAUUUUUUGUUAUUUAAGUUAUUUAUUGAAAUGUUUUCUUUACUUUUGGUUUGUAUAGUAAUUAUUGUGUAAUUAGUAAAUUUUAUUGGUUGUUUUGUUAGAUAAGUGUUAAUUGCCUUUGAGGAAUUCGGCAAAGUUUUAUGUCCGCCUGUUUAACAAAAACAUCUUUUCUUGUUAGUUUUUGAAGUAUGGCCUGCCCACUGACGUUAGUUGAAGGGCCGCGGUAUUUUGACCGUGCAAAGGUAGCAUAAUCAUUAGUUCUUUAAUUGUGAUCUGGUAUGAAUGGCUUGACGAGACAUAAGCUGUCUUAGAGGCAUUGGUUUAUUGAAUUUGGUUUUUGAGUUAAAAUUCUUAAAUGUUUUUAUGGGACGAGAAGACCCUAUAGAGUUUGACAGGUUUCUUAUUUAUUCUUUGUUUGUUUUGUUACAUUAAAUUGGGAGAUACUGUUUUGUUGGGGUGAUGGGAGGAUAAAAUUUAACUCUUCUUUGUUUUUGUAUAUUUAUGUAUA
RNAcentral lists this ribosomal RNA (648 nucleotides) under Nasutitermes graveolus. RNAcentral describes it as "partial 16S ribosomal RNA". The stretch from base 241 to 495 matches the Rfam family "Archaeal large subunit ribosomal RNA", at positions 1785 to 2143 of the family's 2987-position model. The record is from RNAcentral. Lineage: Eukaryota; Metazoa; Arthropoda; Insecta; Blattodea; Termitidae.